AUUUUCUCUCUCUGCUCGCCGAUGGGGAGCACCACUCGACCCAGCAAACGGCGACCAUCACUGAUUCCAAUUCCGACUCUUCUCUCUCUCGCUCCGGCCUCGAGCGCCCGAAGCGGAGUCUCUACUAAUCACAGCUGCUCUGCGAGCUGGUAUGGAAUUGCUUUACUAGGAUCCCUGACUUGUUGAUUACAAGGCAGUUUCGUCGUUCGUAAAGUUUAGUCUACUUGGGUAUCAGUUUCUGGGAGUAUUAUGGAUUGGAACAAGCGGAAUGUUCUCAGCCAACGGCCUACUGUGCAGUUUAAAAGAAAAGGGAGCGGCAACAAGAAAGGAAACUGGAAUAAUUCAAACCGCGAACAGUCUUCAGGAAAUUCUCAGUCCCUUGAUACUGUGUAUCGUAUACUUUGCCCCUCUAAAAAAAUUGGUGGUGUAAUUGGAAAAGGUGGUGGCAUAAUCAAAUCCCUGAGAGAAGAGACCCGGUCCAAGAUUACAGUUGCUGAUUCUGCUCCGGGCUCAGAUGAGAGGGUCAUUAUUAUCUUUAGUUCCCCAAUCAAAAUUUCAAGGAAACAAAAUAGUGAUGAAGAUUCAAAGGAGCCCUUGGAGCCACACUGUGCUGCCCAAGAUGCACUUUUGAAAGUUCAUGACAGGAUUGUAGAGGAAGAUCUUUAUAAUGGAGUUACAUUUGAUGAUGAUAAUGAGAAUAUUGUUGUCACAAGACUUCUAGUUCCAAACAACUUGGUAGGAUGUCUUCUAGGAAAGCGUGGGGAUGUUAUUCAAAGAUUGCGAAGUGAGACACGUGCA
Long non-coding RNA from Rosa chinensis, 798 nucleotides. RefSeq lists it as uncharacterized. NCBI's taxonomy places the organism in Eukaryota, Viridiplantae, Streptophyta, Magnoliopsida, Rosales, Rosaceae. The transcript is spliced from 3 exons. The record is from RefSeq and is a predicted model, not a curated record.